This 406-nucleotide ribosomal RNA is filed under the name uncultured bacterium. RNAcentral's name for it is "partial 16S ribosomal RNA". It matches the Rfam family "Bacterial small subunit ribosomal RNA", at positions 29 to 526 of the family's 1533-position model. The record is from RNAcentral.
AUUGAACGCUGGCGGCAGGCUUAACACAUGCAAGUCGAGCGAGCGGCGGACGGGUGAGUAAUGUCUGGGAAACUGCCUGAUGGAGGGGGAUAACUACUGGAAACGGUAGCUAAUACCGCAUACCAUCAGAUGUGCCCAGAUGGGAUUAGCUAGUAGGUGGGGUAAUGGCUCACCUAGGCGACGAUCCCUAGCUGGUCUGAGAGGAUGACCAGCAACAUGAGAAGUGAGAGACGGUACAGAGGCCUACGGGAGGCAGCAGUGGGGAGUAUUGGACAAAGUGCGCGAGCCUGAUGCAGCCAUGCCGCGGGUGUGAAGAAGGCCAACGGGUUAUAAAGCACUUUCAGCGAGGAGGCGUUACUCGCAGAAGAAGCACCGGCUGACUCCGUGCCAGCAGCCGCGGUAAUUC